This 1341-nucleotide long non-coding RNA is filed under the name Gossypium raimondii (Peruvian cotton). RNAcentral describes it as "long non-coding RNA (GRAI_LNC002912)". Lineage: Eukaryota; Viridiplantae; Streptophyta; Magnoliopsida; Malvales; Malvaceae. The record is from RNAcentral.
CUAGGCAUCCCCUCAAAGCUGGCCACUCCUUUCGAGUCAUCAUGGGGCGAAGUGCCUGAAAGUCCUGUAAGUUAGUGCACAAUCCUGUUAGUUUCAGAAGCCUAAAUAGUUCCGAUGUGCAUAUUGAGGACUUUUUGACUUCCUCUUGGCCUGAGAAGUGCCAUUUUCAUCUUGGUUUCAACUUAUAACAUGAAUCGUUGCUUUGCACUUGGAAGGUAAGCCUAGAAGAAAUUACUGAGAAACAAAAUGAUAAAAAUAAUAAACUAGAUAUGGAAUAUAUUAGUACGUGGUUCAAACUGAAUACUGCAUUUAUUACAACAAGUUUACUCUUUAGAAAGAUCAGAACUCAGAAAAUCACGUUUAUUUGUAUUGUUGAUGGGAUCAUGAAUUCUUAGAUUGGGGUAGUAAAUGCUUUGGCAGUGGAGAUAGGAUCAUGAAUUCUUGGUUUGGAUGCCAUUAUAAUGCUGUGUUUUCACAGUUGUAAGGAUUAGGAUGGACUGCCUCUUAGUUGCAGAGGGGACAUAAUUGCAUGUGCACUUAAGUAGAUCUGGUAAAUGAGUUAUUCUAUAGAUGCCAUGAUAUGAUAUCAUUUAAGGUUAUUAGCAGUGAACUGCAGUAGGCUGAACCUUGUCAGUGGAUUAUAUUACUAAUUGCAUAGUUUACUAAAUCAUAACACAUAACAUGGUUUAUACAUAGUAUUCAAAUCAUAACGAAACCUGCCAUAACUAUUUCAUGUAAUACUUCCUUCUUUGUGGCAUAUAGCUAUAUCACGAAGACGCUUAUGGCUUUGCUUCAAUAGCACAAAUUUUCAGUUAUCACUAUUACCAUAUACCUUAACUAUCAUAUAAUCAAGAAUCAAUGUCUUAAUUAUUGUACUAUGCUUAGCAACGGUCACAUCAUUCCUCAUUUAAAAAAUUUUACUCCCAAUACUUGCUCAUUAUCAACUAGUCAUACGCUUAAUGUUAUAAUCACAACUAUAAUUAGACAUGUUUCAAGCAUACUUAAGAUUAUAUUUUUCCAAGUUAUCAAAAACACCUUUAUCUCAUUAUGGAUUAGACCAAGUGCGUAAAUGGUGCAUCAUAAAAUAAUUUUGCCCAUCAUAAGUGUUUAGAAAUCAGAGAAAUCAACAUCUAAUAAUCAAAAGUAUUUACCUGCAAUUUAAACAAUCUUAGGUGCCUUCGGAUGUCAAAUAUCCUCCAAUCAGCCUAAACUUUCCUCAAUAAUCCUUUGGAUUGCAAACUUUAAUUUAGUUUAUGCCCUUUCCAACGCAUUGGCUUUGAUUUUUCUGACCGGAGCUUUAUAAUUCAGUGAAACUUCACAGCAUUAGUCGGUAUUUUUUAC